This 813-nucleotide ribosomal RNA is filed under the name uncultured archaeon. Its description in RNAcentral is "bacterial SSU rRNA". It matches the Rfam family "Archaeal small subunit ribosomal RNA", at positions 80 to 894 of the family's 1478-position model. The record is from RNAcentral.
GGCGAACUGCUCAGUAACACGUGGACAACCUGCCCUUAGGUUGGGUAUAAACCCGGGAAACUGGGUAUAAUACCCGAUAGGUCUCGAUUGCUGGAAUGCAUCGAGAUUUAAAGCUCCGGCGCCUAAGGAUGGGUCUGCGGCCUAUCAGGUAGUAGUGGGUGUAGCGUACCUACUAGCCUACGACGGGUACGGGUUGUGAGAGCAAGAGCCCGGAGAUGGAUUCUGAGACACGAAUCCAGGCCCUACGGGGUGCAGCAGGCGCGAAAACUUUACAAUGCUGGCAACAGCGAUAAGGGAACCUCGAGUGCCAGGUUACAAAUCUGGCUGUCGAGAUGCCUAAAAAGCAUUUCAUAGCAAGGGCCGGGCAAGACCGGUGCCAGCCGCCGCGGUAACACCGGCGGCUCGAGUGGUAACCGUUAUUAUUGGGUCUAAAGGGUCUGUAGCCGGCCGGAUAAGUCUCUUGAGAAAUCUGGCAGCUUAACUGUCAGGCUUUCAGGAGAUACUGUCUGGCUCGAGGCCGGGAGAGGUGAGAGGUACUUCAGGGGUAGGGGUGAAAUCUUGUAAUCCUUGAAGGACCACCAGUGGCGAAGGCGUCUCACCAGAACGGACCUGACGGCAAGGGACGAAAGCUAGGGGCACGAACCGGAUUAGAUACCCGGGUAGUCCUAGCCGUAAACGAUACUCGCUAGGUGUCGGCCACGGUGCGACCGUUGUCGGUGCCGUAGGGAAGCCGUGAAGCGAGCCACCUGGGAAGUACGGCCGCAAGGCUGAAACUUAAAGGAAUUGGCGGGGGAGCACCACAACGGGUGGAGC